This is a non-coding RNA of Microcebus murinus (gray mouse lemur), 431 nucleotides long. Lineage: Eukaryota; Metazoa; Chordata; Mammalia; Primates; Cheirogaleidae. The record is from RefSeq and is a predicted model, not a curated record.
GACGACAGCGACGAUAGCUACUACUACUACAAUGAGGAGACAACGACAAGACUAACAGAAAAGAAAGGCAAUCUUCAGAGAUAAGUACCAUCGCGCUUUUAGGUUAAUUGUCUAAAUAGUUUAUUAAAAAGAAGCACAGCAGAGCCGCUUUAGGCAGCCCUCUUUUGAGAACCAAUGAUAGAAAAUCAACUUGAAUAAGCAUAAGGGGAAAAGAAAGUCCCAAUGAAUCAAGUUCCCUUGGGCUUAAAUAGACUCAAGGUAAAGCUGUUAUUAAGAUCUUCUAGGAAAUUAUGGGCCAGUGUCAUGUAAGAAGUGUCAUCUUUUUUCUCUAAUAGAGAGCUCCAAGAUGAAAUUCAGAUUCUCUGAGAGUGGACAAGAUGAUCUCCUGGGGCACAAAAAAGAACUUCUAGAGUUUCUAUUUAUACCUACAU